GCCUGGGUGGCUCAGUCAGUUGAGCAUCCGACUUCGGCUCAGGUCAUGAUCUCACAGUUUGUGGGUUCGAGCCCCACAUCAGGCU
Molecule: transfer RNA, 85 nt
Filed under: Felis catus (domestic cat)
Lineage: Eukaryota; Metazoa; Chordata; Mammalia; Carnivora; Felidae
Also listed under: 3 other names
Rfam family: tRNA
About the family: Transfer RNA (tRNA) molecules are approximately 80 nucleotides in length. Their secondary structure includes four short double-helical elements and three loops (D, anti-codon, and T loops). Further hydrogen bonds mediate the characteristic L-shaped molecular structure. tRNAs have two regions of fundamental functional importance: the anti-codon, which is responsible for specific mRNA codon recognition, and the 3' end, to which the tRNAs corresponding amino acid is attached (by aminoacyl-tRNA synthetases). tRNAs cope with the degeneracy of the genetic code in two manners: having more than one tRNA (with a specific anti-codon) for a particular amino acid; and 'wobble' base-pairing, i.e. permitting non-standard base-pairing at the 3rd anti-codon position.
Source: Rfam by way of RNAcentral